CUGGGCUUAAUUUGACAUGAAAUGGGUUUGCAAGUCAAACUGAUGCAAGCCACAUUUAACCUAGUAAGAAGAGAAUGAGAAAGAAAUUUUAGUUUAAAUAAGGUGAAGUCUCUGAGAACUGAGUCUUGAUGACAUUCAUUAUAACAAUUUAAGAUGCUGGCACUCUCUGCACUGCUUCUCAAGCAGACCUUUCUCCCACUCCACAGAGACAGCAGAUCUGCAUCCUGCUUGUGUUUCAGGCAUCCUAAGUCAUUGCUUGAUGUUCCAGGAUACCUAGAGAAUCACCAUUUUUCAUACCAAUGUACUCAAGGGGAAGAGAACCAUAGCUUUGUGCUCAGAUUUUGGCACUGUUGUCUUCUGCCCACUCCCUUUUGGGAAUAGAGGAACUUCUGACUUUGGUCCUUGGUGAAGCAGAAGGGGAAUGUGGUCUGUACUUAAUUUUGCAAGGCAGUGCCAAGAUGCCAGAAGUCCCAUGGCUCAAGCACUGAAGAGGCAACUACUCCAAGCAAUUGACAGCAGAACUCUACUUCCAAUUUCUGGCAUGCUGACCACUAUUACUGUGCUUGUCCAGCCCAGUUCCAAGAGUGGAAGAGGUGAUUUGGGCAGACAGUCAUCAGCCCUUAUGAUGGGUAACCAGGAAAAACCAGCCCCGUGGGAUCAGUGAGAUUUAGAAUUUCCCAUCCCUUUCAUUCUCCUGGAGCAGCUGAGCCUGGAGUCACUACCUGAUGUGCUGCUGUCAGACCAGCCUUCGUACUGUCCAUGUGUCCAACUCCACGAUCUACCUAUGACUGUCUGGAACUGCCAGGCUUGCAAAAUGGUAUUGGAAACGUAGGUAGGAGAAGUUAGUUGCCUAACAUGCUGUGUCACAAGGCAGGAAUGCCAGUGUUUUCAGCACCUGGUUACUCUACUCCCUGGUGAGGAUGUUUGUUUAACAUUUCACAUUUUCAGACAGAAGCCGUGCCUGCUGUGGUGUCACUUAUGCUAGAGCAGCCUCAUGGAUCCGUCUUCCCCUUUGAUGACUCCAACUCACUCAUCAGAUGGAUGAGGGGCACUGCCCACUGCCUGGGAAGGCUGUCACUGCUGAGGUUGGCAUCCCUUGAGCUGCACAGGUAACCCAUCACAUUUAUACUGUUUACUUUAAAUUGGAAGAAUUUGCUUUAAAUUGGAGGCUUAAGCAUGAUCCUCUUUGCUUCCACUUCACCAAUUCCAGUCAGGAGUGCAUGGUUAGCUCCUUGUCAGAUACGUUUUCCUACCAUACUUUUUAUGAUGUCCCUGAA
This 1277-nucleotide long non-coding RNA is filed under the name Coturnix japonica (Japanese quail). Its description in RNAcentral is "lncRNA (ENSCJPG00005008856.1)". Lineage: Eukaryota; Metazoa; Chordata; Aves; Galliformes; Phasianidae. The record is from RNAcentral.